CGAGCGGGCGAGGUUGCUUCGGUAACUGAGCUAGCGGCGGACGGGUGAGUAAAGCUUAGGAAUCUGCCUAUUAGUGGGGGACAACAUUCCGAAAGGGAUGCUAAUACCGCAUACGUCCUACGGGAGAAAGCAGGGGAUCACUUGUGACCUUGCGCUAAUAGAUGAGCCUAAGUCGGAUUAGCUAGUUGGUGGGGUAAAGGCCUACCAAGGCGACGAUCUGUAGCGGGUCUGAGAGGAUGAUCCGCCACACUGGGACUGAGACACGGCCCAGACUCCUACGGGAGGCAGCAGUGGGGAAUAUUGGACAAUGGGGGGAACCCUGAUCCAGCCAUGCCGCGUGUGUGAAGAAGGCCUUUUGGUUGUAAAGCACUUUAAGCGAGGAGGAGGCUUACCUGGUUAAUACCUGGGAUAAGUGGACGUUACUCGCAGAAUAAGCACCGGCUAACUCUGUGCCAGCAGCCGCGGUAAUACAGAGGGUGCGAGCGUUAAUCGGAUUUACUGGGCGUAAAGCGCGCGUAGGUGGUUAAUUAAGUCAAAUGUGAAAUCCCCGAGCUUAACUUGGGAAUUGCAUUCGAUACUGGUUAGCUAGAGUAUGGGAGAGGAUGGUAGAAUUCCAGGUGUAGCGGUGAAAUGCGUAGAGAUCUGGAGGAAUACCGAUGGCGAAGGCAGCCAUCUGGCCUAAUACUGACACUGAGGUGCGAAAGCAUGGGGAGCAAACAGGAUUAGAUACCCUGGUAGUCCAUGCCGUAAACGAUGUCUACUAGCCGUUGGGGGAUUUGAUCCUUUAGUGGCGCAGCUAACGCGAUAAGUAGACCGCCUGGGGAGUACGGUCGCAAGACUAAAACUCAAAUGAAUUGACGGGGGCCCGCACAAGCGGUGGAGCAUGUGGUUUAAUUCGAUGCAACGCGAAGAACCUUACCUGGCCUUGACAUAGUAGAGACUUUCCAGAGAUGGAUUGGUGCCUUCGGGAAU
Molecule: ribosomal RNA, 972 nt
Filed under: Acinetobacter sp. NF446
Lineage: Bacteria; Pseudomonadati; Pseudomonadota; Gammaproteobacteria; Moraxellales; Moraxellaceae
Description: bacterial SSU rRNA
Rfam family: Bacterial small subunit ribosomal RNA
Source: RNAcentral